GUUCUAAAUUAACAGUUCUGCUUUGCAUUUCUAUACAAAACCUUAUGCAUUUUUGUGCCUUCGAGAUGCACAUUGCAGCCCCUCUGAUUUUUUCUGUGACAUGCUUGCCAUGCUUGCUAUUCUUGCUGUGCUUACUGAAAUUUCCAUGCUUGCUAUAUUUUUAUUUGCUGUGCUUUCAGUGCCUGGCCCUAUAUUCUGCUAUUAUCACCAUAACUUUCAAAAUAUUUAAUUAAACAGAUAAUACAGUUUUAAGCAUUGGUAUGCAGAAUAUAAUCUCAUUUCCUAAACCAUUUAACCACAUUAACAAGAUAUUUCAAGAUAUAACAACUAAAUCCUCAGACUCUGUAAAUGCUACGGUGGGCGUUCUUUAUUUAGUCUUGGGGUGUCCAAAUCGGUUCCUUAUGGUCCACUGUCCUGCAGAGUUUGGUUUUUUGAAAAGUUUUAUUCCUAGUAUAGAAUUCCUAAAUGGAAUAGUUAACAUUAGCCUCUGCAUCACAAGUGACAUAAUCCAAAUAGGAAAAACAUUUCAGAAGUUGUUUCUUGUUAAACCUAAAUCAAAUACUAUAAUUUUUCAUUUCAUUAUGAUUUUAAUGGCUUAAAAGAUUGAUAGCUAACAUCUUAGCUUCUGUGAUGAGCUCUCAAGGUUUGUUGGGUUUUGGUGUGUGCCUUUUGAAGACAUGCAACUGCCCCGGGGUGAAUAGAGAUAGAAUGACAGAAAUGGAAGGAGGUAAAAUAGAGGCACGGAGGAAGAAGAAGCUAAUGCAUGGAGUGUACUCAGCUAUUAAACUUGAUGCUGAUGGUACCCUAGGCUUUAAUAACACACACACAAACCAAACACACAGUCACACAUUUUCCUCUAGUGCACCUUGUCCUCAGGAAAGUCUUCAUCAGGGACAUUAUUUUUAUGGCCUCUGAAUGGACAUUGUGUAGCAAUGUAAUCAGAUGACCAGCCCCCAAGCUAAGGCACAUAUAGAAAGAAAUAGAAAAGGAGAGAGAGAGAGAACAAGAGAAGAGAAGGGAUGGAAAGGGAGCGAGAGAGAAGACUGAAGGGAGGGAGGCGAAUCUGUGAGGUGAGGAUUCUGCCUUACAUCACUGAGCAUGUCUUUGUGAGGAUACGAUUGCUACUGUUCUAACUCGUUUUUUAAAGGUCUGUUUUGUGUUGUUUUAAGCAGAACAGUGCUGCACAACUGCGUGUCUGUCCUCAGUGAGUGUACACUGAAAUAACAACAGGUUUUUUCAAGAUAACCAGUAGCGUUGAUUACAUUAUCUAGAGACACAGCUGAUUUCCCUCCUCAAGUCGAGACAUGGAGAGAACAGAGAACAAAGUGUCCACCAUCUCCCCGCAAAAACAGACAGUAAAAAAUAGAUCCAAGUCCACAGAGGAGGUACAGCAAGCCAAAAAGGCCUUUCAUACACCACAAAAAUCUCUUCCGGCUAAAUCAGAAACCGAACAACUAGAGGAAACCUCAGAACUGAGUGCCUCAUCAGAGGAGUUCAAAUGAUUGCUGGAUUCAAACUUUGGGGCUUUGAGAUUUAGACAGAUCAACUGGAAUUAUGGGUAAUGACAAGAGGAUGAUUCAGUGUCUCCAUUUAUAAAAUAGUGACUCAGUUCUACUUAGUUUAGUUAUAAUAGAAGAAAACAAUAAUCAUGUGUAGCUUCUUGAAUUUGUAAGAGUCUGAUCAUGUUUGUGAAAUAAAUGCAUAACUGGA
Molecule: long non-coding RNA, 1710 nt
Organism: Carassius carassius (crucian carp)
Lineage: Eukaryota; Metazoa; Chordata; Actinopteri; Cypriniformes; Cyprinidae
Exons: 5
Source: RefSeq, a predicted model, not a curated record